UACGAAGGGGGCUAGCGUUGCUCGGAAUUACUGGGCGUAAAGGGAGCGUAGGCGGAUAUUUAAGUCAGGGGUGAAAUCCCGCAGCUCAACUGCGGAACUGCCUUUGAUACUGGGUAUCUUGAGUAUGGAAGAGGUGAGUGGAAUUCCGAGUGUAGAGGUGAAAUUCGUAGAUAUUCGGAGGAACACCAGUGGCGAAGGCGGCUCACUGGUCCAUUACUGACGCUGAGGCUCGAAAGCGUGGGGAGCAAACAGG
RNAcentral lists this ribosomal RNA (253 nucleotides) under uncultured bacterium. Its description in RNAcentral is "partial 16S ribosomal RNA". It matches the Rfam family "Bacterial small subunit ribosomal RNA", at positions 524 to 776 of the family's 1533-position model. The record is from RNAcentral.